ACUCUUGCUCGGUGUGCGGCAGCCAGAACUAUUACCGUGUUGCUUGUCUUUUUCAGAUAUCCCUACGAGUUGGCGAGCGUCAAGUUCCUGGCGGGAAUAACAUCCUUUCGGAGAUAGAUCAUCUUAAUGCCCUUUCAUUUGUCUUUUUUCUAGGGACAAGUGAGGGCUGGUGGAUCAAACAUUA
RNAcentral lists this small nucleolar RNA (184 nucleotides) under Suhomyces tanzawaensis NRRL Y-17324. RNAcentral describes it as "Candida tanzawaensis NRRL Y-17324 Small nucleolar RNA snR35". It matches the Rfam family "Small nucleolar RNA snR35". Lineage: Eukaryota; Fungi; Ascomycota; Pichiomycetes; Serinales; Debaryomycetaceae. The record is from Rfam by way of RNAcentral.